Molecule: long non-coding RNA, 1292 nt
Organism: Astatotilapia calliptera (eastern happy)
Lineage: Eukaryota; Metazoa; Chordata; Actinopteri; Cichliformes; Cichlidae
Source: Ensembl
UUGUUUCGGCCUGACUUUUCUGUUCAUUUUAAGCAGCAAAAGUGAGGCGCAUGUCUGUGUACGUGUGUAUGGAGCCAUUGGGUGCGGUCACUAUAGCAACCAGGCUCACACCUGCCUGCUUAACGAGCUCUGCCUGCCACUGUACCAAGAUUCAUCUUAAGCACUUCUCUUUCAACUGCUGCUGUGUCCACAGUGUUACAGCCAUCAUUUUACCCUCAAAUUGUCGCCAUUAUUGUUCUCUUUCCAACACCGUAUCUUUCAAAGCUCAGGCAUUUAAACUUUUUAAACUGUGUGGAUCAAAGUGGAGGGAUCACAUUUUCUUCAUUCAGUGAUUCAAAGAAUAUGACCUUUUAAUAUUCAUUCAGAUGUUUUCUGACUCUAAAUGUUCUUUUCUCAUUUCUUAGGGUUUUCUAAUUUACAUUUAAAGCAUUUUCAGCUUUUUUCCAACUUCUUCUUCUGUGUAACCUUCAGCUUUUAGCAGUUCAGCACCUUUGAUUUCAGGUUAAUUUGAUUUUUGAUUUUUUUUUAAUUUCAUUCAAUAUUUUUAACUCAAAAUUCAGCAAUUAAUUCAUUUCAGUGCAUACAUUCAGAUUCAAGCAUUCACACUGCAGUUUCUUCAGAAAAUGCACUUUCUAGUUAGUGUGAAUGCUUGAAAAGCAUUCACAGUAUUGUUAUUCGAAUCUUUAUUAUUAUUAUAUUUUAUUCUGUAUUCCGUACGUUUUUUGAAAGCCUACUCCUUCAAAACCGUUCAACUUAGAAAAACCAUUCAAACACCGUUAGAUUCCUAUUCUUUUGGACAACAUUGCUUCUAUUUUUCUCAUUUUUAACAUUUAUAUUUUUAAUUUUAUUCAACUUUAUUCAACAAAAAUUUCCCAUGUAUUUCAAUGGGGAGACCCUUCAAAUUCUCAUUCAACUUACUCAUUUUUAAACUCUUACUACUUCAACAUACGUUCACAUAGAGCCACCAUUCAAACUUUAAAACGAAGACAAGACAUUCAACUAUUCAACUUGUAUUUAUCUUUUCAAUAUCUAUUAUACUUUUUCUUCAGUUCCAGUUUAAGUUUCAUGAUGUUUUUUCACCCGUUUCAGAGUUUAUAAUGGGUGUGUAUGGGACGGAAUGUUGGGGCUAGAGUGAGGCAGCUCAACUGCUAGAGUGAGAGGAGCAAAAAAAUUAAUCUUAAAAUCUUUUUUAAAACUGCUGCUGUGUCCGCAGCGUUUGCUCUACAGGUAUGAUUUUACCCUCAAAACGUAGCCAUCGCUGUCCUCUUUCAUCCAAUGUGUUUACUAUUGUC